AAGCCUUAGCUUUGGACUCAAAAAGAUCACUGGUUCAAUCCUCAUCAAGCCUUUUUCUUUCCCAUAAACUAACAAUGGCUAAUACCCACGGCGACAACAAGGUGUUGAAAGAGUAGUGACUAAUGUUGAGUGAUGGUGAGGGGGGGUGACAUUGUAUCCAACUUCCAGAGCCCCGUGUCGGUGUCUGCCACCCCAUGGCACCACUUUAACCCCUUGAAUUCUUUGCAUUCCUCCAGUCGCGGGCCACAAAACUCACUGCGGCCAUUUAAACCCACCAAGGUUUUUUUUUGCUACCAUUAAGGACAACCAGGCAAUUGACCCCCUGACCCUUUACAAGCGACCUGUUGGAGCAGCUUUCAAGUGUAUACUUAAAUCUUCAUGGGAAUGGUCCCGCUGAUCCAGGAUCAGGUCCCCCAAGCAAUCAACACCUAGAGGAAUGUUGCUGAUGGUCAGCACAAAGCGACCAUGAUUCACUGCCAACAAUGAUGUGACGCUGAAAGCGGACAGUUGUUGGCCUGAUCAUGUCAUAGCAGAUUUCCUCCUUCUCUUGGAUCCAGACACUAGACCGGCUCAGCAGAACUGGACAGGUUUUGAGUUUCCCCCAGAGGACCGAGGAUUUCACAAUCAAUGAACACUUUGCUGAUUUUUAUUGGCUUUAAAGUUCCUUUACACCUUUGUGUUACAUAAUUCUUGCUAACGUUUUGAAGGUUGGUAUAGUGAUCAAAGGAUGCCAUAAUUAAAAUGGCCUUAAAUGGUAAUCAGAAUUUCAUGCUUUUUAAUACAUUAGUAUGAUAUGGUAGCAAUAGUCAUCUGUUUCUCUUGAGUUUUUUGUCUUUAUGAUCCACGUUAACAAAAACUUUAGUCCUAAACUGUUUUUCUCCAACUUUCUAUUUUAACAAAAAGCAAACCUUUACUUAAGGUCGGUCUAAUAGCAAAUGGAGCAAACCUUUACAAAAUAUUCAAAGCGGGUCACUAACAAUAUAAGAAAACAUAUCUUUUCUUGAGGCAUAUAUGAUAAAAAUAUUGUAUUCACAAACAUUUAGGCCUUUAAAUUAAAAUUAUGGACCUAAACUACAUGAUAUGCAAACGUUAACACUUUACGACAGUAAAUGCCUUAGCUAGCAUAAACUAACAAUAAACGUUUAGUUUUUCAGCAAGUGUUAGGCUAAUAUUAAUGCCAGUUUUUUAGUUCAUUGUACAUCAUCUAAUGUUAAGAAGUAUGCCUAUGUAUUAGUAGAUGUUGAAAUGAUCAUAAAGUAAAAUGCUUUAGAAGUACUGUAUUGUUCAUUGUUAGUACGUGUUAGCUAACGCAGUAUGUUAACAAAUACAACUUUAUUGUAAAGUGUUACGCAAAUGUAUCCCAAAAUGCAAACUGCUUGACUUUUUGUUGCCAUGAUGGCUUUUUACAAAUGCAUUUUGACUUUUAGUUAUAUAUUUACCCACAGCCAAUAGUUAGGCCAUAUUUUUAUAUUUGGGAUUUAACUUUUAUCACACUGUUAAAGGUAAAAGUUGGAUCAACCAGCCUGAUCGUUAUACACUCAAAAAAUGUAAUGUUGGGUUUAAUUAAAAAUAUUAUGUCAACAGGUUCCACACAAUUUGUUUAAGUAAUCUCAACAAACAAUCAUUUAGAAAAGAAGUUUAAGUAAACUUAACAAACCUUAGUAGAGUCAACAAAUAAAAAUUGAGUUAAAUGUACAUGAAAAAAUGAAUCAAUGAUGACACAAAAUUUGAAUAAUGCCACAUUAAAAACGCCAACCCUUUUAAUUAAAAUUUAAGUCCACUUCUUUUUUUAUAACAGUUUAUCAAACAUAUCACAAACAUAUUUGAAAUGCAAUGUAACAUUCCAAACCGUUUGUUUGUUUUGUUCUAAAAUAUAUAAGAACAAGUUCACCGACUCAUAUUUGGCCACUUAUAACCCACGUACCUAUCUAAUGGUGCUACACUUCUGCAAGAGGGUGCCAGAACAACAAUUACGCAUAAUACACGGCAAAAUCCUCAGCCAAUGAGGUGCAAGUCUGUAUUGGUUUUAUUAAUCUGUUACUUUUAUGCAACAAUGUUAUGUUGGCUGAGCAAAUAAUUUUUAAGUAAAGCUGACAAGACACAUUUUUUGUUGAAUUAACUAGAUUUAAUUAAGUUCACUUUGUUAAAUAGAUUUUUUUAAGUUGCACAACAUGAAAAAAUUAAGAAUUAAGUAAAAUUGACAAACGUAAAAUUUCUUUUUUUUAAGUGUAGUUGUGUGUAGGUCCUACAGCGUAGCCACUAUUCGUUCCGUGUCGGUUUUCAUUUAUACUUUUGCGUCGUCGUUCACUUCGACGUGCAAACACACAGACCACUGGUAGGCAGUUUCCACUAGUGUAACCACAGUAGCAGCGCAACCGUUAAUGAAGAAGCAACCCACAAACAAAGAAGAAAUACCAACUUGUUGUGUAUGUUUUGAGAAGACCAGCAGUGAUGGAAAUAAAUAAACAGCGACUUUUGUUGCAGUUUGAGUUAGAUCACUCCUCAACUUGGUCCAUCUUUGUUCAACCGUUGCAAACGGAAAUACCUACUACGCAGUUUUUUUACCUGAUGGGAGGGGUUCUAGUGGACUAAUCACAGUGCUUGCAGUCUAAAAAUUUGGCGAGGUAACCUAUGGCUUAGCUACGGCGUGGACCCUAAUGGAACAUUCACAUUGUAAGCGACUAGCAGUAGCAGAGCGACGUGAUCUCACUGAUUUCAGUGGAAGCUCGGCGGUAUCCGGCAACACUAGCGACAAUUACCGUUGACGGCUGGAUGGGGCAUGUCCAGUCAUGGGACAAAGUUGAGAAAUGUUUAACUUUAUGCAAAUUAUGAGCGACAUUCGGGAGCGACUACCAAUGAGAAUGAAGCAGUGGAGUUUACGUCAUCCUUCUAGUCAGUUACUGGAGUGGAGGUUGCUCAUUUAUUUAUGACAACCAGAUUUAGAAAUGCCUCUUUUGAAAGAGACUAGCGACAAAGUCGUUUAUACUGUGAAUGUACCUUUACGUACGACUAUAAAUUGGACUUAAGGCCUACAGUGAGACAAUUUAAGUUUAUAAAACUUUUUUUAUAUUUUAACAAUUAAAGUAAGUUUUUUUUAAGUAGAGCAGCUUUCACUUUUUACACUAUAUGACAACUAGCCUUAACUCCCAUGCAAUGUAAUGAGGUCAUGUGAUCAAUAAUAGCACUACUCUUUGUAGUAGGGAAGUAUGCGGCAUAGUGUUCAAUAAGUCUGUAUUCC
Paramisgurnus dabryanus is the source of this 3238-nucleotide long non-coding RNA. RefSeq lists it as uncharacterized. NCBI's taxonomy places the organism in Eukaryota, Metazoa, Chordata, Actinopteri, Cypriniformes, Cobitidae. The record is from RefSeq and is a predicted model, not a curated record.